GUGCUCGCUUCGGCAGCACGUAGACCAAAAUUGAAAGGAUACAGAGAAGAUUAGCAUGGCCUCUGCACGGCAUGCAAAUUCGCCAAGCAUUUUCCGUAUUU
RNAcentral lists this small nuclear RNA (101 nucleotides) under Catagonus wagneri (Chacoan peccary). The record is from RNAcentral. Lineage: Eukaryota; Metazoa; Chordata; Mammalia; Artiodactyla; Tayassuidae.